This 307-nucleotide ribosomal RNA is filed under the name uncultured bacterium. Its description in RNAcentral is "bacterial SSU rRNA". It matches the Rfam family "Bacterial small subunit ribosomal RNA", at positions 28 to 334 of the family's 1533-position model. The record is from RNAcentral.
GAUGAACGCUGGCGGCGUGCUUAACACAUGCAAGUCGAACGGAUGCAAGGGGCUUGCUCCUUGCAUUAGUGGCGGACGGGUGAGUAACGCGUGAGCAAUCUGCCCAUAUCAGGGGGAUAACAGUUAGAAAUGACUGCUAAUACCGCAUAUGACCACGAAAAGGCAUCUUUUUGAGGUGAAAGAUUUAUCGGAUAUGGAUGAGCUCGCGUCCCAUUAGGCAGUUGGUGAGGUAACGGCCCACCAAACCUACGAUGGGUAGCCGACCUUAGAGGGUGAUCGGCCACAUUGGAACUGAGACACGGUCCAA